RNAcentral lists this ribosomal RNA (250 nucleotides) under uncultured bacterium. RNAcentral describes it as "partial 16S ribosomal RNA". It matches the Rfam family "Bacterial small subunit ribosomal RNA", at positions 524 to 773 of the family's 1533-position model. The record is from RNAcentral.
UACGGAGGGUGCAAGCGUUACUCGGAUUUAUUGGGCGUAAAGAGCGCGUAGGCGGGGCAGCAAGUCUGGUGUGAAAUCCCUCGGCUCAACCGAGGAACUGCGCUGGAAACUACUGCUCUUGAGUACGGGAUAGGGAGGUGGAAUUCCCAGUGUAGAGGUGAAAUUCGUAGAUAUUGGGAGGAACACCAGCGGCGAAAGCGACCUCCUGGACCGAUACUGACGCUGAGGCGCGAAAGCGUGGGGAGCAAAC